This 324-nucleotide ribosomal RNA is filed under the name Triticum aestivum (bread wheat). RNAcentral describes it as "partial small subunit ribosomal RNA". Lineage: Eukaryota; Viridiplantae; Streptophyta; Magnoliopsida; Poales; Poaceae. The record is from RNAcentral.
GAUGACCUAAAAAAUGAGGUCUGUGGAGCGGUUCGGGAUUUUUUGGAAGGCGGUGAGUGGCCAUUGGAUUUAAACAACACAACACUGGUGUUAAUUCCAAAAUUUCCGGGACCGGAGAAGCUAUCCCAAUUCAGACCUAUCAUCCACUAUAACGUCUUAUACAAGUUAGCUUCAAAAGUACUGGCUAAUAGGCUGAAGCAGAUCUUGCCAUUUCAGAUCUCAGAUGAGAAAAGUGCCUUUGUACCAGGGCGCCUCAUUACAGACAAUGUGUUCAUUGCCUAUGAGUGUUUGCACUCGAUUCGGAGCCAGAACCGGAGGAAAAAA